This 253-nucleotide ribosomal RNA is filed under the name uncultured bacterium. RNAcentral's name for it is "partial 16S ribosomal RNA". It matches the Rfam family "Bacterial small subunit ribosomal RNA", at positions 524 to 776 of the family's 1533-position model. The record is from RNAcentral.
GACGUAGGGCGCGAGCGUUGUCCGGAUUUAUUGGGCGUAAAGAGCUCGUAGGCGGUUUGUCGCGUCGUUCGUGAAAACUCACAGCUUAACUGUGAGCUUGCGGUCGAUACGGGCAGGCUAGAGUUCGGUAGGGGAGACUGGAAUUCCUGGUGUAGCGGUGAAAUGCGCAGAUAUCAGGAGGAACACCGGUGGCGAAGGCGGGUCUCUGGGCCGAUACUGACGCUGAGGCGCGAAAGCCAGGGGAGCAAACGGG